GGAGCGAUGACAGAGCGGCCGAAUGUGACGGUCUUGAAAACCGUUGAGGUGAAAGCCUCCGGGGGUUCGAAUCCCCCUCGCUCCGCCG
This 88-nucleotide transfer RNA is filed under the name Micrococcales bacterium 73-15. RNAcentral's name for it is "tRNA-Ser". It matches the Rfam family "tRNA". From Rfam's summary of the family: Transfer RNA (tRNA) molecules are approximately 80 nucleotides in length. Their secondary structure includes four short double-helical elements and three loops (D, anti-codon, and T loops). Further hydrogen bonds mediate the characteristic L-shaped molecular structure. tRNAs have two regions of fundamental functional importance: the anti-codon, which is responsible for specific mRNA codon recognition, and the 3' end, to which the tRNAs corresponding amino acid is attached (by aminoacyl-tRNA synthetases). tRNAs cope with the degeneracy of the genetic code in two manners: having more than one tRNA (with a specific anti-codon) for a particular amino acid; and 'wobble' base-pairing, i.e. permitting non-standard base-pairing at the 3rd anti-codon position. The record is from RNAcentral. Lineage: Bacteria; Bacillati; Actinomycetota; Actinomycetes; Micrococcales.